GAUGAACGCUGGCGGCGUGCUUAACACAUGCAAGUCGAACGGAAAGGCCCAAGCUUGCUUGGUUACUCGAGUGGCGAACGGGUGAGUAACACGUGGGUGAUCUGCCCUGCACUUCGGGAUAAGCCUUGGAAACUGGGUCUAAUACCGGAUAGGACGAUGGUUUGGAUGCCAUUGUGGAAAUUUUUUUCGGUGUGGGAUUAGCUCGCGGCCUAUCCGCUUUUUGGUGGGGUAAUGGCCUACCAAGGCGUCGAAGGGUAGCCGGCCUAAGAUGCUAUACGGAGAGAUGCAGAUAUACAGACGGCCCGGGUACCUACGGGAGAGAGCAGUGAGGAAAAUGCGACAGUGCGCGAAAGCCGGAUGCAGCGAGGCCGCGUGGGGGAUGACGGCGUUUGGGAUGUAAACUCAUUUGGCUAGGGACAAAGCGUUUUUGUGACGGUACCUGGAGAAGAAGCACCGGCUAACUACGUG
RNAcentral lists this ribosomal RNA (468 nucleotides) under uncultured bacterium. Its description in RNAcentral is "partial 16S ribosomal RNA". It matches the Rfam family "Bacterial small subunit ribosomal RNA", at positions 28 to 507 of the family's 1533-position model. The record is from RNAcentral.